RNAcentral lists this long non-coding RNA (775 nucleotides) under Chlamydomonas reinhardtii. RNAcentral describes it as "long non-coding RNA (CREI_LNC001359)". The record is from RNAcentral. Lineage: Eukaryota; Viridiplantae; Chlorophyta; Chlorophyceae; Chlamydomonadales; Chlamydomonadaceae.
GCCGUCCUUCUUGCCGCACACGGGCGCGAGCAUCUUGUUGCACGCGCACACGCCAGUCGGCAACUGCUGCUCAGUCUCCUCGCCGGACUCGCCGUCUCCGCUGCCGCUGCCACCGCCGCUGCUGCUGCCGCAGGCGCCCUUGCGGAAACUCACGCCGGUGCAGGAGGCAAGGCACUCAUUGGGGUACUCCACGCCGUCGUUGCCGCACACGAGGUCGGCCUUGGCAACCUCGGGAUCAUCGGAAGGCGCGGGGCAGGUGACGGCGGCGCAGCCGCUGGCGUCGGCGCAGCGGCCCUCGUAGGCGACAGAGGCGCCGUCACACGUAGCCAUGCACUCAUUGGAGUAAGUGGUGAGUCUGCCGUCCUUCUUGCCGCACACGGGCGCGAGCAUCUUGUUGCACGCGCACACGCCAGUCGGCAACUGCUGCUCAGUCUCCUCGCCGGACUCGCCGUCUCCGCUGCCGCUGCCACCGCCGCUGCUGCUGCCGCCGCAGGCGCCCUUGCGGAAAGUCACACCAGUGCAGGAGGCGAGGCACUCAUUGGGGUACUCCACGUCGUCGUUGCCGCACACGAGGUCGGCCUUAGGAUCAUCGGAAGGCGCCGGGCAGGUGACGGCGGCGCAGCCGCUGGCGUCGGCGCAGGCGCCCUGGUACUUGACCCGGGCGCCGUCACACCUGGCCGUACAGGCGUUGGAGUAAGUUGACAGCUUGCCGUUCUUCUUGGCACACACGGGCGCGUAGAUGAACGGGCAUACGCAGUCGGCCGGCUGCUCGCCG